CAUUUGCACGCGAAUUUUGGUUGUCGCUUAGAGAAAUCGAAGCAACAUUAAAAGGGAAUUAGGUGAAAUGCCUAAGCUGUACCCGCAACUGUAAGCUAAUACGCUUGUUAUUAUCUGCAUUACCACUGUUAGAUAAUUUAGAAGUUAGAGUUUAGAACUUAAAAACGUUUUUUACUUCAACAUUCUAAAUUGCAACGGGAAGGUCAAUAACAAGACGCAAGCCAGGAGACCUGCCUUUAUUCAAUGAGUAACA
This 253-nucleotide non-coding RNA is filed under the name Flavobacterium sp. 9AF. Lineage: Bacteria; Pseudomonadati; Bacteroidota; Flavobacteriia; Flavobacteriales; Flavobacteriaceae. The record is from RNAcentral.